UUGAAGGAUUUGUAAGAAAUGUUUGAGGGAACUGACUCAGUGUUUAACAGUGAGUCAGUUCUCUCAAACAUUUCUUACAAAUCCUUUAA
RNAcentral lists this microRNA precursor (89 nucleotides) under Paramuricea clavata. The record is from RNAcentral. Lineage: Eukaryota; Metazoa; Cnidaria; Anthozoa; Malacalcyonacea; Plexauridae.